UUUUGACAAACGCUGCAUUUUUAAUAAUGUAGAGGAAAGUCCAUGCUCGCACAAUCUGUGAUGAUUGUAGUGUUCGUGCAUAGGGAAUAAAUAACCUAUGGUAGCAGUUAAUUUGCUAACGGAAUCGAAAAAAUCUAAGUCGUUUAGAUAUGAUUUGAUUAGAUAUAAAGUGCCAUAGUGACGAUGCUAUUUAGAAAUAAAUAGAGUGGAACGCGGUAAACCCCUCGAGCGAGAAACCCAAAUUUGGUAGGGGAACUGAUUCAAGAGAAUGAGAAUUAAGAAUCAGAUGGUUUUAAACCAUAGAUAAAUGUUUGUCGCCUUUAUAAGGAACAGAACAUGGCUUAUAA
This 347-nucleotide RNase P RNA is filed under the name human gut metagenome. RNAcentral describes it as "Bacterial RNase P class B". It matches the Rfam family "Bacterial RNase P class B". Rfam says of the family: Ribonuclease P (RNase P) is a ubiquitous endoribonuclease, found in archaea, bacteria and eukarya as well as chloroplasts and mitochondria. The record is from RNAcentral.